This 265-nucleotide ribosomal RNA is filed under the name uncultured Flexibacter sp. Its description in RNAcentral is "partial 16S ribosomal RNA". It matches the Rfam family "Bacterial small subunit ribosomal RNA", at positions 133 to 397 of the family's 1533-position model. Lineage: Bacteria; Pseudomonadati; Bacteroidota; Cytophagia; Cytophagales; Flexibacteraceae. The record is from RNAcentral.
CAGUGCGGGGAAUAGCCCGGGGAAACCCGGAUUAAUACCCCAUAAAAUCUUGGAGUGGCAUCAUUCUAUUAUUAAAGCUUCGGCACCUGAUGAUGGGCGUGCGGCUGAUUAGGUAGUUGGCGGGGUAACGGACCACCAAGCCAGCGAUCAGUAGAUGAUGUGAGAGCAUGAUCAGGCACACGGGCACUGAGACACGGGCCCGACUCCUACGGGAGGCAGCAGUAAGGAAUAUAGGUCAAUGGACGAAAGUCUGAACCAGCCAUGC